CGCGGGACGGGGAUGCGCGGAGGUGAAGGCAGGCAUCCCCCGGGGUCGCUGCCCGCCCCGCUGCCCCGUCGGGGCCGGGUCCCGCCGCGCAUCACCCCCGGUUCUCUCGCCUGGUCUUUCGCCUGGCACUAUGUGCUCCUCAGGAACGCUGUUUGAGAAUUGCCCUUGGUUUUUGUUUUUUUUUUUUCGUGUAACUUCUCUUCGGGGAGGGACUUGUUCCCUCUUCUUUUGUUUUUAAGAUCUUCUUUCCCAUCUGCGCUGAUGCAGGAUUUGGAAGUGGAGUUCCUGGAGAGUGAACCUGGCAAUGAGUGCAGAUUUCCCUGAAAGCUGAGGCUGUUUCUUUAUUCCCUAGGAGACUGAGAAGAGAGGGGACCCUGGAUGCCAGCCCGAUCUCCGUUUUUUGUUUGUUUUGACUUUGAGGCAGAUUUCCUCUUUCAGCUCUGGGAAUUGACGGGUACAACCCCUGUAGGCACCUGUGCACGUCUCAGAAACAAGACCAAGACCAUGAAGCUGAUAUGUCAGUUAACCGGUGGCCCUGACGCCACACAGUACCUCAGUCCAUCAGCUUCUUUCCAAGAUGGUAACUACCUUCUGCUCCACAUCUCUGCUGCAGGAGAUCUUUUGAUAACCUAAAAAAGUAAACUGCAUCCUGUAGAUUUCCUCUUAAAACUUCUGCUUUACAGAAGAGAAGAUCAACUUGUUGGAGGUGCAUCAAUGAUACCAAACUUGCUUCUGUUUGCCUGACCACCCUCUCCGUCAGUCUAAAAUUAUAAUUUUUGAAAGAAUUGAAGGAGCUGUAUUAAUGUUUGUGUGAACCAUUUUUCCUGCACAUAUUCUGUUCUUCUUUUCUCCAUCCAUUUGGUGUCUGGUUCGUCUUGGCUGCUUUUAAAAAUUCUGUUGCCUCUAGUAAGGGACUGCCAGAUUAAAAUAGUGAAGAGAAACCAGGUGACUGUCUACUUUUACGAAUACAGGUUGUGUAUAAUAAAUUCAGGUUUUACAUCUAUGCA
Molecule: long non-coding RNA, 1007 nt
Filed under: Calidris pygmaea (Spoon-billed sandpiper)
Lineage: Eukaryota; Metazoa; Chordata; Aves; Charadriiformes; Scolopacidae
Description: lncRNA (ENSCPGG00000001720.1)
Source: RNAcentral